CUUAGAGUGGAGCGACGGCGGAAGAGAGCCCGAGGAGGGGCAUGCUGCCCGGGGCUGCGGCAGGAGGAGGCAGGCAGCGGUGCUGGGGAGCCAGCCGGUGUGCGCAGGUGGCACUGUUGAAGCCAAGAGUAAGAGUUGCCAGAAGUUAACAGAAAAUAAAAGAAAAUAAGAGUGAAGAAACUUGAUUAAG
RNAcentral lists this long non-coding RNA (190 nucleotides) under Vombatus ursinus (common wombat). RNAcentral describes it as "lncRNA (ENSVURG00010003274.1)". Lineage: Eukaryota; Metazoa; Chordata; Mammalia; Diprotodontia; Vombatidae. The record is from RNAcentral.